This is a long non-coding RNA of Xenia sp. Carnegie-2017, 1003 nucleotides long. RefSeq lists it as uncharacterized. The record is from RefSeq and is a predicted model, not a curated record. Lineage: Eukaryota; Metazoa; Cnidaria; Anthozoa; Malacalcyonacea; Xeniidae. The transcript is spliced from 2 exons.
GCGCCUCCACUUUUGUAAGACUGGCUAUUAUUGUUUGUUUUGCAUUUGGGGGAUAUGGCUGCAUAAAGGAACUUUUUCAAGUAAUGAGCGUGUUAAUAUUCUUCUUGGUCACGUUUGCUACAGCCUUUGCGGUGAUUAUGAACGAUGGAGAUGGAUUUGAAAACUUUGUUCACGCCAUUUUAACAGCAGCUGUGAUGAUGAUGGGUGUGUUUGAUUUCAAACAGACGUUCCUUCACAAUACCAAUCCUGAGUACGAUGCAUUUGAUAUGCUGUGAUUCAUUUUAUUUGUCCUGUUUCUUGUGUUCGUGUCAGUCAUCAUAAUGAAUCUAUUGCUUGCGUUUGCCAUUGAAGACACCAGUGACGAGUUCAAGAAAAAAAUGAAGAAAAAAAAAUCGUUCGAACCGUGAGUCCUCAAACUUUUAUUGAUCAGUGAGAAUAGUCUUCUAAUCAAGUAAGGCACAAAUUGUUUGAUCCAGAGAGGUUAGUUCAGAAUGACAACAUAGAACAAGAACAGUGGUAAAGCUCAAAAUAGUUUGAUUCAGAGAGGUUAGUUGGGAAUGACGGCAUAGAACAAGAACAGUGAUAAAGCUCAAAAUAGUUUGAUUCAGAGAGGUUGUUUGGGAAUGACAGCAUAGAACAAGAACGGUGUUUAGUGUUAGUGUAGAUCGUGAUGAAUGAAAAAUAGAAAACCACAACAGUCUCCACCGUACCUAAAAUAAAAACUAAACUAAAAUGUGCCAAAUCUGGUGAUAAAGACUGAGCAACCGAGAACAACAACAGUCUUUACUCUACUCGAAAUAUUAACUAAGAUAUCGUGUGUCAGUAAAGGUAGGGAUGAAUGAACAACAGAGAACGAGAACAGUCUCUACUCUAUCUAAAAUAUAAACUAAGAUAACGUGCGUCAGUGCAGGUAGUGAUGAAUGAACAGCAGAAAACAGGAACUAUUUCAAAAAAGGGAAAGAAAAGGCCUCUAACAUAUGCUGGUGCACAGCAGUUUUUUUUU